CCUACGGGGGGCAGCAGUGGGGAAUAUUGGACAAUGGGGGGAACCCUGAUCCAGCCAUGCCGCGUGUGUGAAGAAGGCCCUCGGGUUGUAAAGCACUUUCAGUGAGGAAGAACGCCUGGUGGUUAAUACCCAUCAGGAAAGACAUCACUCACAGAAGAAGCCCCGGCUAACUCCGUGCCAGCAGCCGCGGUAAUACGGAGGGUGCGAGCGUUAAUCGGAAUUACUGGGCGUAAAGCGCGCGUAGGUGGCUUGAUAAGCCGGUUGUGAAAGCCCCGGGCUCAACCUGGGAACGGCAUCCGGAACUGUCAAGCUAGAGUGCAGGAGAGGAAGGUAGAAUUCCCGGUGUAGCGGUGAAAUGCGUAGAGAUCGGGAGGAAUACCAGUGGCGAAGGCGGCCUUCUGGACUGACACUGACACUGAGGUGCGAAAGCGUGGGUAGCAAACAGGAUUAGAUACCCCAGUAGUC
Molecule: ribosomal RNA, 465 nt
Filed under: Vreelandella stevensii
Lineage: Bacteria; Pseudomonadati; Pseudomonadota; Gammaproteobacteria; Oceanospirillales; Halomonadaceae
Description: partial 16S ribosomal RNA
Rfam family: Bacterial small subunit ribosomal RNA
Source: RNAcentral